Molecule: ribosomal RNA, 433 nt
Filed under: uncultured bacterium
Lineage: Bacteria
Description: partial 16S ribosomal RNA
Rfam family: Bacterial small subunit ribosomal RNA
Source: RNAcentral
AACGAACGCUGGCGGCAUGCCUAACACAUGCAAGUCGAACGAGACCUUCGGGUCUGGUGGCGCACGGGUGCGUAACGCGUGGGAACCUGCCCUUAGGUUCGGAAUAACUCCCCGAAAGGGGUGCUAAUACCGGAUAAUUUCUUCGGACCAAAGAUUUAUCGCCUUUGGAUGGGCCCGCGUUGGAUUAGCUAGUUGGUAGGGUAAAAGCCUACCAAGGCGACGAUCCAUAGCUGGUCGGAGAGGAUGAUCAGCCACACUGGGACUGAGACACGGCCCAGACUCCUACGGGAGGCAGCAGUGGGGAAUAUUGGACAAUGGGCGAAAGCCUGAUCCAGCAAUGCCGCGUGAGUGAUGAAGGCCUUAGGGUUGUAAAGCUCUUUUAACCGGGAUGAUAAUGACAGUACCGGGAGAAUAAGCUCCGGCUAACUCCGUG